Molecule: ribosomal RNA, 432 nt
Filed under: uncultured bacterium
Lineage: Bacteria
Description: partial 16S ribosomal RNA
Rfam family: Bacterial small subunit ribosomal RNA
Source: RNAcentral
AACGAACGCUGGCGGCAUGCCUAACACAUGCAAGUCGAACGAGACCUUCGGGUCUAGUGGCGCACGGGUGCGUAACGCGUGGGAACCUGCCCUUAGGUUCGGAAUAACUCCCCGAAAGGGGUGCUAAUACCGGAUAAUGUCUUCGGACCAAAGAUUUAUCGCCUUUGGAUGGGCCCGCGUUGGAUUAGCUAGUUGGUAGGGUAAAAGCCUACCAAGGCGACGAUCCAUAGCUGGUCUGAGAGGAUGAUCAGCCACACUGGGACUGAGACACGGCCCAGACUCCUACGGGAGGAAGCAGGGGGGAAAAUUGGAAAGUGGGCGAAAGCCUGAUCCAGCAAGGCCGGGUGAGUGAUGAAGGCUUUAGGGUUGUAAAGCUCUUUUACCCGGGAUGAUAAUGACAGGACCGGGAGAAUAAGCUCCGGCUAACUCCGU